RNAcentral lists this unclassified non-coding RNA (417 nucleotides) under Hevea brasiliensis (rubber tree). Lineage: Eukaryota; Viridiplantae; Streptophyta; Magnoliopsida; Malpighiales; Euphorbiaceae. The record is from RNAcentral.
CCCCCUUUUCAAUACUGGCUCUACCUGACCUUCCCCCCAAUGCACAAUCUUUGUUUGUUUCAACAGUGUCACAUGGCUUACAGUGAGCGGGCGAAUUUAACUUGGUUCUUGACCUUGAUCUUCUGGAUUGCCAUUUGAUAUUUAAGAAAUCUGAACUGGAACUUUCAUCAGAAAAUACUCCCCGCAAUGCUAAAGCAUGCUGUACUUUACUAGAUGGACUUUCAUCAGAAAAUAGCCCCCCCAAUGCUAAAGCAUGCUGAACUUUACUAGAUGGAGCGUUCUUUCUAACCUUUACACAGCACUGUAAGUUGAUCCCCAUUCUUGAAGUCCAAUCUUCUCCACAUUCAUCAUGGUCUUCAUCAUCAAUUGCGAGACAUAUCAAGUUCAGAUCUUCCUGGGAUGCAUUUUCUAGUGCAA